RNAcentral lists this ribosomal RNA (253 nucleotides) under uncultured bacterium. RNAcentral's name for it is "partial 16S ribosomal RNA". It matches the Rfam family "Bacterial small subunit ribosomal RNA", at positions 524 to 776 of the family's 1533-position model. The record is from RNAcentral.
UACAGAGGUCUCAAGCGUUGUUCGGAUUCAUUGGGCGUAAAGGGUGCGUAGGUGGCGCUGUAAGUCGGGUGUGAAAUUUCGGAGCUUAACUCCGAAACUGCAUUCGAUACUGCGGUGCUUGAGGACUGGAGAGGAGACUGGAAUUCAUGGUGUAGCAGUGAAAUGCGUAGAGAUCAUGAGGGAGACCAGUGGCGAAGGCGGGUCUCUGGACAGUUCCUGACACUGAGGCACGAAGGCCAGGGGAGCAAACAGG